RNAcentral lists this ribosomal RNA (459 nucleotides) under uncultured bacterium. RNAcentral describes it as "partial 16S ribosomal RNA". It matches the Rfam family "Bacterial small subunit ribosomal RNA", at positions 338 to 795 of the family's 1533-position model. The record is from RNAcentral.
CCUACGGGUGGCAGCAGUGAGGAAUAUUGCUCAAUGGGCGCGACCCUGAACCAGCCAAGUCGCGUGAGGGAAGACGGGCCUAUGGAUUGUAAACCUCUUUUGUCGGGGAGCAAAAGACGCCACGCGUGGCGUUACGAGAGUACCCGAAGAAAAAGCAUCGGCUAACUCCGUGCCAGCAGCCGCGGUAAUACGGAGGAUGCGAGCGUUAUCCGGAUUUAUUGGGGUUAAAGGGUGCGCAGGCGGAAGAUCAAGUCAGCGGUAAAACUGAGAGGCUCAACCUCUUCGAGCUGUUGAAACUGGUUUUCUGGAGUGAGCGAGAAGUAUGCGGAAUGCGUGGUGUAGCGGUGAAAUGCAUAGAUAGCACGAAGAACUCCGAUUGCGAAGGCAGCAUACCGGCGCUCAACUGACGCUCAUGCACGAAAGUGUGGGUAUCGAACAGGAUUAGAUACCCUAGUAGUC